AUCAAAACACAUGAACCCUAAUUUAUCAUCUUCGUCAUCUUCAUAGCAGCCACCAUUUAUCAUCUUCAUAGUUUGCAACCACUUCUUCAUCUUCAUUAGUAUCUUCAUAGAUUUGCAAUCAUUUCACCCCAACCUCCACCCUUCACCACUUCACCCAAACCUCCACCCAUAAACCACUAUCUUUCAUUUGUUCUAAUUCUCAAAUCCCAAAUAGCAAAUACAAGUGACAUGCUCAGUCCAAACCCUAGACUGUAAACCACUAUCCUUUACUCGCAACUUCUGCUUGACUAACAACCACCAUCUAUCAAACUGUUCCGAAGUAUCAUAAUGUUCUUCAGAUCCGGUUUUGGCCUAUGAACGUGUUGAUUGUGGUUGUUCGUCCUCUUUAACAACAUACACGGUUAACUUUUUGUUGGUAGUAUUCUGAUGGUUUUUUUAAUGGAUUUUGGAGGUAAAAAGAUGGGAGUUUAUUAGGGGUUUUGUGAAGGUGGAUAAAGGGGGAGUGGGUGUGAAUUGUAGAAGGAUAAUGGUUGCAUAUGCAUAAAUGAAAGAAAUGAAGCUUAGAUCAAUGUAUUCGUGGUGUAGAUUGUGUUUGUGGAAGAGGGAGAUUCACAACAGUUAGUCUAGAAGUAGUCCGUGAAAAUCUCGAUGAUGAUGAUGAUGAAGAAUAUGGUUUGAAGAUGAACUGAUGAAGAUAAACAUGGAUUGAAGAUAAUGGUUAAAUUAACAAAACCAUUAAAAGAUAUACAAUAAUCCAUGUCAUUUAAAAAAUCCAUGUCAUUUGAGUCAUUUAACACGUGGCUGCCACGUCACCAUUUUUCAUAACGACGUUAGGCAGAAUUAACGGUGGAGUAUUUUACAAAAAAAAUGGACGAGGUCGGAUUAUUGGCGGCUAAUUCGUGACUUGAGAUUAUUAUUGGCCAAUUUCAGAAAGAUGGGAUUAUUAUUUUCCAAUUUGCCUAAAUAAAAUGUUUUAAUUAUGCAUUAAAUAUUUUGAUGUUAUUUGCUUCUUCAAAGAAAAUAUAAUCAUAAUGGGUAAUUAUAUGUGAUCAAUGAAUUGCCUUUAAAGUCAAAGAUAAUUACGAUAACUAUGAUGAACUUGACUUUAACCAUCAAUUUUGUUUUUCAAUUAAUUUUCAAUUGAGACACAAUUCUUAGUUAAAGAUGGUAGGUCUCAAAAAUAUCUUCUUAUACAAAUAGGAGAUUUUGAUUAAAUCCUAAUGUUUAUUAAAGGUGAUUAGUUUUGUCACUUGUUUUAUUUAGAAAUCCUAGCAUUAUGAAACUAUGUUAUUUAUAAAAGAAAAGUUGUUUAGUUGUUAUAGUCAACAACGUAUCAGUCUAUGUGUCAAAUUGUGGAUUGAGUUCGUAAGAAAUUGUGCAUUUGUAUGAGUUUUGUUUCCAUGUCAAUUCUAUAUUAAUUCGAAUCAGUUUUCGUAUUAGUUUAUUUGUUAGGAUUGUGUCCGCAUUUGUUUUCGGUAUCUAUGUCAGUACAGUAUUAGUGUUGUGACUAUUUAUGUUUUCGAUAUUAGUGUCAGUGUCCGUGUCAGUUCAAUAUCAGUAUAAUUUUAGAAUAUAUGGGUAA
RNAcentral lists this long non-coding RNA (1582 nucleotides) under Helianthus annuus (common sunflower). RNAcentral describes it as "hypothetical non coding rna". The record is from RNAcentral. Lineage: Eukaryota; Viridiplantae; Streptophyta; Magnoliopsida; Asterales; Asteraceae.